GACGAACGCUGGCGGCGUGCUUAACACAUGCAAGUCGUACGGUAAGGCCCUUUCGGGGUUACACGAGUGGCGAACGGGCGGGUAACACGUGCGUAACUUGCCCACAACUUUCUGAUAACUAUAGGAAACUGGCUCGAAUACUUGCCAUGUACUCCCGCCGCAUGCUGGGGGUUGGAAGGCUCCGGUGGGUGUGGAUGGACUCGCGGCCUACUAGCUUGUUGGUGGGGUAGUGGGCUACCAACGCGGCGGCGGGUGGGCGGCCGGCGGGGGUGAGCGGGCACAUUUGGACUUGGAUACGGCCCAGGCCCCUACGGGGGGGAACAGGGGGGAAUAUUGCACAAUGGGGGCGAGCCUGAUGGAACAACGCCGCGUGCGGGAUGACCGCCUUCGGGUUGUAAACCGGUUUCAGCAGGGACGAAGCUGUUUGUGACGGUAACUGCAGAAGAAGCACCGGCUAACUACGUG
RNAcentral lists this ribosomal RNA (465 nucleotides) under uncultured bacterium. Its description in RNAcentral is "partial 16S ribosomal RNA". It matches the Rfam family "Bacterial small subunit ribosomal RNA", at positions 28 to 507 of the family's 1533-position model. The record is from RNAcentral.